UUUAAAUAGAACCGUAUGAGGCACAUGGCAUGAGUGCCUAGGACUAACUCUGUUUUGUUCUACAUAUGUAGCACUGUCUUUGUUCUAUGUUGCACCGUGGUCCUGGAGAGACGUUUAUACCAGACAGUAUAAAAAAAACGAGAGGAACCUAAAGCUGCUCGUUGUGUACGAUAGAGGUAAUGAUGAAUAGAAAAAGAAGCAUGGGGGGUGAUAGCACCGGCACCCUGCUGUCUGUGUUUGGAGGAGGAUUUCAUCAGCAGCUUAUCACUGAGGGCGGGAUGGACAGAACCGUACUCAGAUAAAUCCUAGAAGAAAGCCUAAGAGACUCGACUCGGCUGUGGCAGAGUUACGGUAUAUCUUUUAACCAAACCCUCCAGACUUAAUCUGUUCUUUCUAUCCAGUCCGACAGAACUGGAGACAUUUUGCAAAGAAGAACGGGUAAAACAUGACUUUCCCUUGACAAGGAGUGAAGAGGAAUUCAUAUUCCACAGCAGAAAGAACAAAGUAUUUAUGGUCGAAUCCAUGGUGAUUUAGCUUAUCUCCCUAGCUAAAUAAAAUGUAAUGUUUUAUAUCCAUUUUUUUUUCCAAGACAUUCAUCAUUUUAUCAUUCCUGCUUUGCUAAAAUCCCAUCUUUUAUUCUUCUGUCUUCUUCUAUCUUAUUGUCUCUGUUGCUGAUUUAAAAAGGAAAUCGCAACUCACUUAGCCACGAGGAACUGCUCUCUUACUGAAUAAGUUCUCUUACUGAAAUCGACACUGAUGAUUCAGUCCCUCAGGCAUCCGUGAAACUUGUCUAACAAACUUCCUUUCAGCUGGCUCACCCUGGCCUGCGGGGGCGACAGAGGACCGCAGCUGGAAGAGGAGUGUUGAGGAGAGGGAGGAGACGAGGGACACACACUGAGGUCUGGCUUUGAGGAUGUGGGAGAGUCGGCGAUAUCUGCAAACACAACCAGCAGGAAUCAAACCACAGCUCUGUAAACAGUGGAGGUCAAACUGAGGUCUGGAGGAACCUUUCAGAAAGAACCACUAGCGAGAUUUUGCUAGAAAGGCUAAUCAAAGCAUCCUGAUGGUCUGGAAAAUACAUGUAGAUGGAUGGAGUCAUCAGAAGAAAUCACAAGUUUUCUGGAUGAAAAGUUUGCAAAUGAAUAUCGAAUCAAAUGGAAGUUUACAGGACUUGAUUCCAAAAGGGAUCAGACUUGUUUGGUGAAAUAAAGGGAAAGAACACUUCCAUCUCUCCAACUGUUUAAGCAUGGGGUGGAUCCAUCAUGCUUUGGGUUUGUGUUGCAGCCAGUAGCACGGGUAGGAUUUCGCUGGUCGAGGGAAGAAUGGAUUCAAUUAAAUACCAGCAAAUUCUGGAAGCAAACUUCACAAAGCCUGUAAAGAGGCUGGAGAUGAAGAGGAUAGGAUAAUGAGCUUAAACAAUGGACUACCUCAGGAGGCACAAGCUGAAAGUUUUGGCCAUACAGUCCCCGACCUAAACAUCCUCAAAAAUGUGGAUAAACCUCAAAAGAACAAAAUGGCCUAAGUCUGAGUGAAAGGACAAAUGGGUGAAAAUCCUCCAAAGAAGAAUUAAGACUGGCUACAAAAGGCAUUGUGAUGCUUUCCAAAGUGGGUGUCACUGCAGGGUGCGCAAACUUUUUCCUCAGGAACCUUUUUUUUUAAUACGAAGCUCAUCUGCUUGCAAUAUACAGUAGGGCUUCUGGUAUGUUGAGUUACGAACUCGUUCUUAUUUAAAUCUAUUGUCUUCAUCCAAAUGCUGUCUGACAUCCAUAAUG
Tachysurus fulvidraco (yellow catfish) is the source of this 1772-nucleotide long non-coding RNA. RefSeq lists it as uncharacterized. NCBI's taxonomy places the organism in Eukaryota, Metazoa, Chordata, Actinopteri, Siluriformes, Bagridae. The record is from RefSeq and is a predicted model, not a curated record. The transcript is spliced from 3 exons.